AGGGUCCAAGUACAUAAAAUUCCAGCUCAUAGUUUUUAUCUUAGCCCAAGAAUAGAAUGAUUUAUUCUGAGCUUGAAAUUAAAUAAUAAUCAGCCCAACUGGCAUGAUACAACAGCCCAAAUAAAUGAAUAAUCAAAGGCCCAGAUAAAUAAAAUCAGAGGCCCAAACAGAAAUUAAAAUCAGCCCAAUCUGGAUUAAUAAUUAAAUUACAAACGAAGUGAAAAUAAAAGGAAGAGGCCCACUUAGAAUUUAAAUCAGGAAGGCCCAACUAAAGAAAGAAAAAAAAAAAGAAAGAAGCCCAAAGCUUCCCCUCUUCCCUCACAAUCGGUCUUCUCACUCUCUGCCUCUCUCAAUCUUACGCACGGCGCUCCUCUCUCUCUCGACCUGCUUCUGGCCGGCCUCGGCUGCCGCCGAGCCUAAAUCCGGCGAGGCCGUGCCUGCCUUUCUUCUCGUAUCUCCUCUCACUUGCUGAUGGUGCGUUCGAGGCGAAAAGGGCGAGCCCUAAUUCUCCCUGAAAUCAAAAUCGCCGCCGCCGCUGUAUCUCCCGGCGAAUGGCUGGCGGCCGUCGCUCCGUUUCGAGGCCGUCCCUCCUUCCUUAUUUCCCCUCUCAAUGGUCCACUGAAGAAGACGAAUUGAGGAGCCCUAGUUUCUUCCUCCGUGAAUGUCGCCGCUGCCUUCACCCCUAUCUGAAAUCCGAGUUCGUCCUCACCGAUUCCUAGGGCUCGACUGGACAGGGCAGUCGGCCCUUCUUCUAU
Long non-coding RNA from Salvia miltiorrhiza (redroot sage), 755 nucleotides. RefSeq lists it as uncharacterized. The transcript is spliced from 2 exons. The record is from RefSeq and is a predicted model, not a curated record. NCBI's taxonomy places the organism in Eukaryota, Viridiplantae, Streptophyta, Magnoliopsida, Lamiales, Lamiaceae.